UACGGAGGGUGCAAGCGUUAUCCGGAUUCACUGGGCUUAAAGGGAGCGCAGGCGGACUGGUAAGUCAGUGGUGAAAGCCCUGGGCUCAACCCGGGAACUGCCAUUGAUACUAUCAGUCUUGAAUAUCGUUGAGGUUUGCGGAAUGGGUCAUGUAGCGGUGAAAUGCAUAGAUAUGACCCGGAACACCUAUUGCGAAGGCAGCAGGCUAAGCGAAGAUUGACGCUGAGGCUCGAAAGCGUGGGGAUCAAACAGG
Molecule: ribosomal RNA, 253 nt
Filed under: uncultured bacterium
Lineage: Bacteria
Description: partial 16S ribosomal RNA
Rfam family: Bacterial small subunit ribosomal RNA
Source: RNAcentral